RNAcentral lists this long non-coding RNA (2007 nucleotides) under Sus scrofa (pig). RNAcentral's name for it is "lncRNA (ENSSSCG00025074851.1)". Lineage: Eukaryota; Metazoa; Chordata; Mammalia; Artiodactyla; Suidae. The record is from RNAcentral.
AUGAAUACCAUUGAUGGUUCAUGCCCUACAGGUGAGGCCAUGCCUCAAGAAGUGGAUUCAAGGAGGGAGAAGUUGGGAAGAAUCCUGCAAGCAAGAGCACCCUCCCCACCUCCCCUGUUCUCUCCCUAUGCCUAUCCUUCCACCCCAUCCAUCAGAUGGGUAGAGGGGUCUCCCCAGGAUGAAUGUGGAGGGACGGCAGGGCCAGCAGGAGAGGUCCCUGGGCAGAGCUGGCCCCUGGUUGGAGCCCAGCAUCUCCAAACUGUAGCCCAGAGAAGGAGGCACAUCAGGACCCAGGAAGAACCCCUCAGAGCUGGAGUUGACUUGACCAACUUUCCCCGAGAUGAGAUGGACUCCGGAGAGGAUGGUGAGAUGGGAGGUCAGAGGGGCCUGCAGGGGGCAUCUUUUUUUCAUCAUGGAUAGGCACACAGAACCAGGACCGGAGGCAGUGGAAGGGCCUCGGGUCACUGCCUGUCACUGACCUGAAGGACAGGCCAACUCAGAUCUCCCUGGAAGCUGGCUCUCCUGUUCUGACUGGAGACUGAGACCCCAACUAGGAUGUGAGCAGAGACAUUCUGGCCAGGAACACUGGGGAGCAGACUGUGAGAGGUACUUGUCAUCUCAGCCUUAUCUGGACACAUUUGUGUUCCUUCCCAGCAGGCACCCCAUUCCCAGGCACUGGUUGUUCUCCCCCAGGGCCUGCUAGGAUGACCCCCAAUGCACUAGCCAGGCAUCCACCCAUCCCACCUUCCAGGGACACAGGGGUCGGGUCCCCACACCUCAACAGGUGAAGCCCAUUCUUCACCAGCUGCCAGCACGGAGCCAGCCUCCUUCCCGGGAAACCAUCUGCUCAGCUCAGGUUGCCUGAAAUGGGUACCAGCAUCUGAACAAACAGUCCUGAGUGAGGCGGGGCUGGGGGUGGUGUUGCAAGAGGUAGGGCCCCUGCCCCUAGCCCUGCUCUGGAGGGAAUUCGCACGAGUUCUCACAGCUGCCGCUGUCCCAGUCCUGCCUGAUGACUGCAUAGACUUCCCACUCCUCAGCCCCAUGGCUGCCACUGCCUGCCCACUGGAGCUCUCCCCGGCCCUCCCCAGGCCACCCGUCUUCUUGUCCUGGCACAUGAGUGGCCUCUGCUUCCCUCCAGGAAGAGUCCUCCCAUGGCUCCCAUCCCUGUCACCACACCAGUCAAGCUGGGCUGUCCUUCUCAGUGUCCACCACUGCCCUAAUGCCAAGGGCAGGCUGGCACACAGUGGGUAAUCAGAAAGCAUUGCUGCCUGUGGCCGUGACUGUGGAGUGAGUGCUCCCAGGGAUGUGGCCUGUUUAGUUUGGACCAGCUGUUCUUCCUGCUCCUCAGUCGACGUGAAGGCCUGACCCAGACUUAGAGCUGGGCAGGCUCCUGCCUGGGGGCUGCCCAUGUAAGACCCAUACUCAGGCCAGCUGACUCUGCCCCUGCCCACUUGGGGAAAGAAGGGACUGGCACGGCCCCUCCCCCAUACCCCUCUGCUGGCAUUGGCAUUCAGAGGAGGGGUGGGGGGGGCCCUGCCACCCGGGAGGAACAGCCUCUCUGGGCCUCAGAGCUCUCAUCUGGGAAAUGGUGCCCCAUCUAUGGGGUGCAGGGUUGCUGUGGACCUAGGAUCUGGGCACUCUGUGCCUGGCACCCCUCAGAAGGCUUUGGACCCUACCUUGCCUGCUGCCUAGGGGUCGGGGCAGGGAGCAAGUGACCUUCGUGCAUCUUUUUCCACGAGAGACUGUCAGCGAUCUCUGUCUCUAGGUGGGGGACUUCCAGACAGCACAGAGGCGGGACCUGUGGGGUCCUGGGUACCCGUAGGACGGCACAGGGCUCCCCAAGGACCCGUGGGUACACAGGGGUCCCUAGCAAGCCUGAUGGCCUAUUUGCUAUGUGAUCUCAGGCCGGGGUUGGGGAGGAGUGUGAGGUGUGGCCCCUCCUGCUGGGUACUCCAAAAAGCAGUAAGUGCCUCCCCCAAGGUUCAUUUUCCAUUUCCUGUAGGUCGG